UGCAUAACGAAAAAUAAAAGGAUAGUUCUAUUUCAUAUGAAAAACAGUAUAUGACUCUAAUCCACCACACAACUCUUAAAUGUUAAACUCAUACAUAACUUUUGAAUACUAAACUUUAAACUGUUAUCACUAAAUCCAAACUUCAAUUCCCACCUUCCAAAUACUAAACCAUAAAUGCUAAUCACUAAACUCUAAAUCCUAAUCACUAAAUCCUAAACUCAAGUAUAGACCCUAAACCCAAGUAAAGAUCCUAAACCCAGAUAGAACUGAACAAAAGAUUUAGUAUAGUACGUAAUGGUGAACAAAAUAGAACACUCUUUAUUAAUCGUCAAAUGGAAUGAUACAUGAAAGGGUCACUAAACCCAAAUCUCAACCCCCACCUUCCAAAUACUAAACUCUAAAUCUUAAUCACUAAACCCUAAAUGAAUAAAGUAACAUUUAGGCUUCAUAUUAUCCGGUUAUACCCUCCACAUAUGCAAGUUG
This 483-nucleotide long non-coding RNA is filed under the name Brassica napus (rape). RNAcentral describes it as "long non-coding RNA (BNAP_LNC022951)". The record is from RNAcentral. Lineage: Eukaryota; Viridiplantae; Streptophyta; Magnoliopsida; Brassicales; Brassicaceae.